GGCUGUAGCUCAGUGGUAGAACGCCUGCCUCGCAUGUGUGAGGCACUGAGUUUGAUCCUCAGCACCA
This 67-nucleotide transfer RNA is filed under the name Marmota monax (woodchuck). RNAcentral describes it as "tRNA.Ala". The record is from RNAcentral. Lineage: Eukaryota; Metazoa; Chordata; Mammalia; Rodentia; Sciuridae.